UCAACAGUCUUGAAAAAGGAGCGCGGGAAAGCGAAAGGUGUCCGGAAAUUCCUGUUUCCAGUUCACCACAGCAAUGCUAACAGAAAGGGUCCCAGCAGGAGAGCAACACUCCAUUCAAGGACCCAACUCCCCAUCCUUCAGACCUUAAGCAACUGUCCCCUGCAAGCCAAGGCGCCUCUCGGCCUUUGCCUACCCUCUCUAGUUGCCAGUCUGGGGCAGCUACUGACAUGCCUACCUGCUCCCUAUCUCUUGCAUCAAACACAGAAGAACCCCAGGAGCUUCCAGAUCCCAGAGACUUCCCAAGAGAAGGCUCUUUCAGGUUUGAUAGGAACGAAAGUGUGUUUGGCUUAGGAAGUUCUCUCCCAGCGUCUCCUUCGAACAGCUGUUCGAGCCUAGAGAAGGAGGAGUCAGAACUUCACCUGUAUAUUAUUUCUGCAACCUCGUCCAUAUUUCUGCACCUAAAGAGUUCGUGGAACAACUACAUUAUAAGAGCCACUCUUUUACAAGAUCCUCUGUGUGGCACUGCGCAAAGUCAUGUCCUCAGGAAUCGGAAGCCAUACAGGUCUGAGGAGAAAAUUAAGCAGUUCUGUCAACUGAAGUCUGAACUUUUUCUUAAAGACAAUACUUUGAGGAAGAUAUUGUAUUUAAUUGUGGAACUUAGAGUGGCAGCGCAGAGAAGUUUCAUUCUAAAAAGACUUUUCUGGAAA
This 707-nucleotide long non-coding RNA is filed under the name Rattus norvegicus (Norway rat). RNAcentral's name for it is "long non-coding RNA NONRATT025841". Lineage: Eukaryota; Metazoa; Chordata; Mammalia; Rodentia; Muridae. The record is from RNAcentral.